Long non-coding RNA from Clupea harengus (Atlantic herring), 11569 nucleotides. The record is from Ensembl. Lineage: Eukaryota; Metazoa; Chordata; Actinopteri; Clupeiformes; Clupeidae.
GUGCCUAAUGACAAUCAACGUGUGAUACAAAUAUAUAUGUACAUGUCACAACAUAAUGGAAUUUAAAUAGGAUUUGACUAGAUUGCUCCAAAUUGCUCUCUUACUGUAAGUGGAAGAAUGCUGUAUUUUCAUGAGGAGAGAUGUUGUAUUCUCAUGAUGAGAUCUAAAAUAUACAAACAUAUUAGCAGAAAUUUGAUCAAUUAUCUGUUGAUUCUUUAUUGGAUAAAUGCAUUGGGACAGCCAUUUGACUUUCAGGGAAGGACAACAAACUGGGACAGAAUGGUGUAUUAAUGUGUACAACUUUUAUCCAAACAUUAUAAAUACAGAUCUACACAGCGCCUUUAUUCCUGGCCUCAUUCAGUUUGGAGUGACAUUGCACGCCAUCCAGGAAAAACAACUUGAAAGUGCUCGCACAGGUGGUCAUGUGAUUUGCAGUGACAUAAACAUGUACUCCAAAUUAAAAUAAAUACAUCUUCCAAUUAAAGGUACAGACAACCAUUUCUAACACAAAAAGUACCAGAAGUAGUUUCCACUAUUACCCCUCAGGGACAGAUGAGACCUUCCUUAAAUACUCUCCUCACAGCUUGUCCAUAGUACUUCAUAGUGUUUCAGAAAAGUGUUAGGAUACCCAGUGACAUUGUAGCCGACAUACAACUAAAUGAGUGUGGCAUUGUCGAGCUUGUGGAGUAUUGAAAAGGCUGAAAGUUAUUAAACAGGAAAGAUGAUAAAAUUGUACAAUUUCACACAAAGACCCACCUCUAAUGGACAAUUACAUUUGCAAUAAUUCAUAGACAUUCAUCAUGUCAUGUUGGGCGGCACAGCCUCCCUUGAUACACCGGGAUUUAAAACUCAAGCCUCUAGAUUAGGACCAGUUCAAGAUCUUCUACUCCCUGAAGUAGGCAGGUUCGAGGGCUUAUGGUAACAGUCCGAUGGUGUGGGGUUGGGGCUCGCAUUCAUUCCCGUUGGGAUAUAAUACAUGCUCUCCAGGUAGCCCUGAUCCAGAGGUGGCUGGUUCUGGUUCUGCAGCUCAGACUUUGGUACCUGGCCUCCUGGAGGAGUCCCAUAACCUAUGCUGUUCUGAUGAAGCGUCGUAGGGACGGGGGGCUCAGCAUUUCGAGGAGGGUGAGUAGCUUGGGGAUGGGUUGGGACAGAGUAAGGGAGGUACUGAGGGGAGUACAUACUUGGCCCAUGCAUGGAGGAGUAUGGGGCAGCAGGUGGGGAGUACAGGCUGGAGUGGGAUAGAGCCUGCUGGGGGAUAAGCACCUCCACAUACUGGCCAGUCUCUGGGUCAAACAGCAUCUUUCUGAGGGGUUGCAUCGGUACCUCAAUGUAGAAAUACUUCCCUGUGUCAGGAUCUAGGAGAACACGUCGAGGACCUUGCCCAUAUCCAAGUCCCCCUGUACUGUCCGGGUACAUCACGUUACCACCCCCCGGCCCAUCAGGCCCAUACUCUGAGCCAUAGGAGGAGGCCAGGUCUUGUGGACUGCAGAGGUACUGGGGUCGAGACUCCAUGGGGGGCAUGUUGGAUGGAUGGACAUGGUCACUGUAUGGCCCACCACUAGCACCUGAUGCGUGCUGCUGCUGCUGUGGAGGAUGAUGAUGGGCAGGGCGCCGGUCCACAUGCUGCUGUCGCUCGUCUCCACACGGCUGCAGAAGUGGCCCAGGACAGGCAGGUGGGUGAUGGACUGGCUGAAACAUGGCUGGAGGUGGUGCGGUGGGGCUCAGCAUGGGGGCUUUAGGUGAGCCUGGUUUAUAGCUCAGAGGUUGACCAUCUGGUCUGCACUGAUGAGGACGGACCUGGGCUUGAGGUGGGGCCCCGGGGUAAGGUAGAGACUGUCCCGGGGAGUGCGGGGGGGCGAUGGGAGGAGUGCGAGUGUGCGGGCUGAGGCGGGGAUGGCCAGGAUGGGAGGAACAACUGGUGCCGCAAGAGCAUGGCGGAGGCCUGGAAUUUGGAUGGUACCGAUUUGAUCUUUUGGGAGGUAAGUCUGACAGGAGGUAAGGGCUGAAACUCUCGCGGUCAUCAUAGCUGGGUGGGUCAUCCGAAGCAUAGAAAUGGAGAUCCUCUGUUUGAAACUGAUUAUCAGCUGAUUUCACAGCUGGGUGCUGUGUAUAGCUGGGGGCUUGUGGUAUGAUUGGCCCCACUGUUUGGAUAGAACCACUGGAGCUGGCUGGCAGCCCCUGGCAUGGCAUAUUGGAUGCCCCAGGGUUGCUUGAUUUAUCCAAAAUGAUGGGUUGUCCUGGGACCUUUGAUGUGAAAACUGUUGGCAUCUGAGUUGUAUUGGCUUGUGACGUAGGUACUGCAUGUAGCUGCUUGUCUUUCAAAGAUUCAACCACAGCUGUUUGCUGAGUCAAGCUGGAUACUGCUGCCAUUUUGUUUGGGGGAGGCCUGUAGCUUGAUCGGGCUGAUACUGCUAAUUUAUUUGUGUGGACUGGUGGUGCUGGUUUUGUCCCUGGCUCACCAGGAGCAACUGCUUCAAACUUUCUUUCUUCUGUACUCUGAUUUUUGUCCAUUGCAGGUUGGGGUUUGUCUGCUUUUGUUUUGUCAUUUGAUACUGACUUCAUCUCUAUCAAGGGUUGCUUGCAGCUUGGUUUUGGUUUAGGCCUGUCAUAUGAUAUGGAUCUAACCUGUAUAGGAAGCUCUAUCUCUUUUGAUGUCUUUUGCGAUGCAGGUGCAUUCCCUUCUACACGGACAGGCUUCACCUCUGUAACAGGCUGGCUUUUGCCUGUUACCACUGGCGACGCUGUUUCUUUUCUGAUGUUGAUAACCUGAGGAACUCCCAAGUCAGGCAGUUCCUGCGCUUCUCUUGUCGGUGAUGACUGUUUAUGAUUUUCCUCAAAUGUAACCUUGGGAACUGUCUUCUCCUGCCCUUGUGGCUUUGGGGAGCUCCUGUGUUUGGGCCCAAUCUCCUCAGGACUGGGCAGCCUCGGAGACGAAGCAGUCGAGUGUUGGGCUGUAUCUCCCCCCUUUCUGUGCGUCUCUCCUGCGGUGCCAUCCAUGCAGGAGGUCUGUAGUGGCACCUCAAUUCUAUUAACAUGUUUACGAGGGUUGCUAGCACCUUCGCUGACGCUGUCACAUACCCCAAUGUCAGCUUGCAUUCCCUUUUCCUUUCGUAUCAUAGACACAGAGUGGCUGCUGCUUGGGACUGCUAACCGAGGGGAAGGUGGGGCGUCUGGAUUUGGAAUGCCUUUGGAUGAGCCAUCUGGCUGAAAUACAAGUUUUGACACUUCCCUAUCCUUACUGGGGAUUUUGGGUAAACUGCCCAACUUUGGGUGUCGACCAGCCUCAUUAGAGACCUUCUCCAUUUGACCGGAUGCAUCUAAAACAGUGUUGGUGCCCAUUCCUGGGGUAUCUGGUUCUUUGUGUGGCAAGUCUGAAGUCAACGUGUUGGCUUGAGUUGUCUUAGCAGGGAUUUGGAGGGAUCCUGUCUGUUGGUUCAUUUCUGUGGACUCUUGUUGUAGAUCUGUAUUUGACGUGUCCACAGGCAUGUCAUUGUGUUGAGAGGGUUGUUUGUUAUCCUUCCUGUUGAUAGCUCUGCAUUCUAUCUGCAUUGGGACAGGUUUCAUUGGUCCUGUCUCCUCCUGCCUCAGUGAUUCAAUCUGCAUCGGGACAGGUUUCAUUGGUACUGUGUCCUCCUGCUUCAGUGAUUCAAUCUGCAUCGGGACAGGUUUCAUUGGUACUGUCUCCUCCUGCCUCAGUGAUUCAAUCUGCAUCGGGACAGGUUUCAUUGGUCCUGUCUCCUCCUGCCUCAGUGAUUCAAUCUGCAUUGGGACAGGUUUCAUUGGUACUGUCUCCUCCUGCUUCAGUGACUCAAUGGCAUGUGGUGGCACAGCAGGGGUGGCUGCUUUAAAAGAAAGGUUAUAUGUAUUUUUAACAAGUCUUCUGACGUCCCUUACUUUAUGUAUGGGUUUCCUUAUUUUGUUUGUAUCACAUUCAUCCUCUGUCUGCUCUGUCUCAACCUCUAAUUCGGGCUCCUCCUGUUUCUCCUCCAGAGCUCUUUCCUGGCGGUCACCAGCCUUUCUCUCCAGACCAGGUGACAGAGACACUUUCACUGAGGACUGUUUUCUCUCCUUGGGCACGCAGGGCUUCAGCAUGAUUUCUGGUGUUUUGGACAUGAACACGCUCCUGCCACUGUGUUGUUUAUGAUUUUCCGGUCUCGCGUGGCAUUCCUGGUCCCUGUUUAUCAUUCCACUUGGCAUGCCCAAGGCUCGGGUGGCAGUUGUGCCUGUGUUCCCGACACUGACAUUCGCUGAGUCACGGCUGUGCUUGUCACCGGGGUUACGGUUAGCCGCCUGCUUUCCACCAUUCCACGAGUCCUGUUUCUCCGUUUUCUUGCCCUCCAAAGGGAAAGGACUUUCUUUCCUGACUUUAUUUUUGUGUUGCGGUUCGGGCCUCAUGGAAAUAUCUUGAGGAAGAGGAGGAAGAAUGUAAUGCAGUGGCUUUGGAGGCACUUUGGGCGCAAGACCUCUUUGGUGUUUAGCCCCUUGGGGUGGACUUCGCUCCUCCUUGACAGGUGGGUUCAUAGGUGGCAGACUGUUGUCUGAAAGUUGGCUGGACUUAACGUUGUCGGAUUUUGAGUGCUCUCUCUCAGGAGGUGGGGUUAUACUCUCAAAGGGGUCGUUUGUGUCUUCAGAUGGACUUAAAUCCGCUUUACGGUGUGCAGUUUGGCUGCUCUCACCUUUUCGCAUUUUCUUUGACAGUACAUUCUUAAUAAGACAUGAGGCAACUUUUGAUUUGCUUGAUGUCUCGUCCAGGGACGAGGACUUCUGCAUCCUCGGUUUUCUGUCAGUUUGAUCAGCCUCAGGGCUAUCUGUUGUCAUUUCCUCCUCCAUUGUCACUGGUGUACUGUGCUGCCGCGCUAAGGUAUCAUUGAACCGUCUCUCUGUAGAGGGAGAACCCAAAGCACACUCUGUGUUUUCCUGGGUCUUUGGUUCAUUGUUGUCACGUCUCUUGAGCUGAAUCUGCCUUUUGGGAACGGUCCUUUUCCCCUUCCUGGCCUCCUCUCUGCUCUCCAGAGCUACAUCUACACACUCAAAACUGCCCAUUUCAAAACGUCUAGAGGGAUCCAAGCCGCCCAGGGGUGGCACAUAGGAAGGCUGACGUGGAACAUCGUCACCUUCACCUUGAGAUGAGCCACGAAGGUCUGCAUAGGAUAACCAUGCUGUACCACCUGGGCUCUCCUGAGUGGAUGGCUGUGAGGCAUUUGUAGACGACCUGUGGCUAGAGUUGUACACGUCCAGGUAAUCCACCUGAGGGCUCGAGAGGCUUCUGAACGCCACGUCUGUCAGCCACUUCACCUCACUGUCAGCCUCAUCAAACUCGCUCCCCAUGCUGGAGGUCUCCCUUGUGUGAGCGCUAGAAAGGCGGCCAACCCCGGUGUUAUUGCUCCCGGGGACUGCUUUUAGCCUCCUGGCACCACCCUUGUUCUCUUGCUGUAAGGUCUGAGUUCUUAUCUGACUCUGUUGCUGUUGCUGUCGAGUUGCGAGGAGCCACUCUGAAUAAGAGCGAGCAGGAAUCCCCAGCUUGGGAUCUCUGCUUGUGGGAGCUGCGCUGGAGCUGGAGCUGGCAGGCCCUUUUCUAUUCCUGGCACUGAAUGACAGCUCAACCUGUUCCCCUCUGUAACCCUCCUUUCUGCUCCUCCCCUCCCCCUUCACUGACGCCUUCCUCUCCUCACCCUCUCUGGCCCUGUACUCCUCCCCGCCCUGGCAUGGCCGGCGGUCAUAUUCUCCACUGCCGUCACCAUGGCGGACAGUGGGGCUUUCCCUGCAUGUCAAUCCCAUGUGGCCUGCCCUCACACUGGUACCUACCAAUUGCCUUUCAAAGGUUUCUGAGUUCCACCUUUCAUUUCCUCCCAACUCCUAUGCUGCUCCACUUUAGAAGCCAUUUCAGAAUGGGACCAAGCUACUGGGUUUAAAGGAUUCUCACAGUCUAUUAAUUUAGAUUUAGUUUCUGUGAUUUUGUUAGUGUCUCCUGGCCUUGGUGUUGGGUAUUUCCUUAAGGAUUUAGAAGAGGGACUUGUUGGCUGGUUGAUUUGGCUGCAUUGAUGGGUUGGGGAUGCACUUAUGUAUGAAUGAGCAACCAGCCCACACAUUUCUUGUUCUUGUAACUCAUCCUUUGAGUCAGGUUCAAAUAAAGGGGUUGUACUUUUGCUUUUAAACGAGAGAGGAGACUCUUGUUGUCCUUUGCUUAUAAUCUCAGAAGAGGGGCUAGCUCCACUUUUAGCAAUGAUUGGUGAACGAUGACAUCCUUCAGACUUUGGAGAAGUGGCCAAAUGAACUGGUGAGACCCCAACAUAUCUUUUUUCAGGUGAGCUUGAUUUCACUCGUUGCCCAGGUGAGCUUGAUUUCACUCGUUGCCCAGGUGAGUAUGACCGAAGAGGUGAAUAAUUUCUUGCAGCGAUAAACGGUGACAGGGUUCUAUUCUGUAAAUCUGGAAAGGAUGCUGUGUCUUUCACUGGGGACCACAACUCAAGAGAGCAUUCUGAAACACUCUGUUCUGGCUCAGGGGUGACAUUGCUUAGCUCAGGUGAAGAGCAAAUGUCCUUCAGCUCAGAGAAGGGGGUCGUAUUUCUGGUCUCAGCCAACAGACUGAAGCUUCCAGGGCUUCUGAGAGAUAGACGGUCUGGUGAUUGGGCCAUGCUCUUCAUCUCCGUUGGUAAAUAACUGCAAGUUAUACCCCUCAUUUCAGGUGACUCUGCCAUGAUCCUACCAUCAGAUGAUGCAACACUGUAUGUCAAACCUGUUACCUGAGGUGAGGUUGUACUUCUGAAAGGUGAAGGGGUUCUAUUUGUGAGGUCAGGUGAUAGAUUUCCCCGGUUUGCCUGUGUGGUAAUGCUCACCUCCGGUGUUAGGGUCAUUCUUCUUGAAUCCAGUGGGGAGGCACCGUGGCCAAAAUGUGGUGAGCUAGACAUGUCUCUAGAUUCAGGAGAGUAGCUUAUUCUCACAUUUUCUGAGGGAGAGGGUGUCGUUCUGGGCUCAGCUGAGUAAGUUAUCUGUAUUUCAGGUGAAGGACAGGUAGGAUUAUACAUUGGUGUUGGGGAUUUUAAAACAAAUUCAGGUGAUAUAGCUAUUAUUGGGUGUUCAGGAGACUGAGUGAUUUGAGUAGGUUCGGGGGUAGAAGUGACAGAAGAAAUAUCUGUGGUCUUGGGAGAAGUUGCAAUUAAUAUCGGUCCUGGUGUACUAGCCACCGCUAUAGGCUCAGGUGAAUUAGGGAUUACUGAAUGCUCAGGUGAAUUAGGGAUUACUAAAUGCUCAGGUGAAUUAGGGAUUACUAAAUGCUCAGGUGAAUUAGCUUCAAGCUCUGGUGAAGUGGCAAUCACAAUAGGCUCAGUUGAAAUAGCUUCAAGUGAAUUAGCAGUUCCGUUGGGCUCAAGUGAUUUAGCUACAAAUUUAAGAUCAAAUAAAUCAGUGGGCUCAGGUGAAAUGACUAUUACAGUACAGUCCGGUGAACUACUGAAUUUUGUGGGUUCUGGUGAAGAACAAUAAGCUACUAUUUCAGGCUCAGGUGAAUCAGAAAUGAUUGUGGGUGCAGGCGAAGUGAAGUUAGUUGCUAAUUCAAGUUUUGGUGAAUUAACAAUUUCUGUGUAUUCAGUUGAAAUGAGGUUAGCUGCUAAUUCAGGUUCUGGUGAAUUAACAAUUUCUGUGUGUUCAGCUGAAGUAAAGUUAGUUGCUAAUUCAAGUUCUAGUGAAUUAACAAUUUCAGUGUGUUCAGGUGAAGUGAGGUUAGGUACUAGUUCAGGUUCUAGUGAAUAAACAAUUUCUGUGUGUUCAGGUGAAGUUAGGUUAUUUACUAGUUCAGGUGAAAUGAGAUUAGCUGCUAAUUCAGGUUCUGGUGAAUUAAUUAUUUCUGUGUGUUCAGGUGAAGUUAGGUUAUUUAGUAGUUCAGGUGAAGUGAGGUUAAUUGGUAGUUCAGGUUCUGUUGAAGUAAUUCCUGUUGGUUCAAGCACUAUUCCUGAACUAAUGACUUCUGAGGGUUCCAGUGAAUAAAAGUUAGGUAAUAUUGUAGGCUCAGGAGAAUUAGUGAGGACUGUGGGCUCAGGUGUGGAAGGGUAAGGUAAUUCUUCAGCCUCAGGUGAACCAGUAACUGCUUUGUGUUGAAGCGAACUUGCGUCGGCUAUAGGCUCAGGUGAAUGUGUGAUUAACACGUGCUCAGAUGAAGGGGAGCUUGCAGCUUCUGUAGGCACGGGUGAAUUAGUGAUUACAGGUAAAUUAGUGAUCACAGGUGAAUUAGUGAUUACAGGUGAUACAGAGACGCUACCGCUUAUUUCAUUUGAGGGGAUGGUGUGUAUUGUUUCAAUAUGGGUUACCUCAAACCCUACCUCAGAGGAUUUGGCUGUAAGGUUUUGUUCACUCACAAAACUUGAAGUCCAGGCUUCUGAAGAACUGGAUGUUUUCUGAUGUCCAGACAGGGAGACUGUGUCAAUUGUCCCUUCCAGUAGUCUAUCAGUAGAGCUUGUUGGUGAUUGAGAUCUAUCCUCAGUUACAAAAGCUUUGUCCCCCGGAUCAUGUGAAGACGCUAUGGGGUUACCAAGCUGGUGUGGUAUAAUAGGAGAUACAGGUAUGGGACUGAUGUCUUUGAGUUUGAGUGAAUCUCUUAUAUUCCCUUUUUCGGAAAAGAAUAGGGGACUGUCUCUUGAUUCAGGUAUGAUUGAAAAUACAGGAAUUAGACAAAUAUUUCUUCUAUCAAGGGGAGAGACUAAAUCUCCAAACUCAUCUUGAAUUGAGAAAUCAUCAUUCGUCUCAGAUGUAUAGGUUGCGGUUGGCUGUAUUGCCGAUUCUAUUGAGCUUGUUACGGGCUUCCCACUUUGAGAUGUGUCUGUGGGGCUGGUCACUCCUGCACUGUGGGUUUUACUCUUAGAGGAAGAGCUAUAUUUCAGCUCAGGAGAAGAAGCUUUGCUCCUGAAUUCAGGGGAGGGUGAUACAAUGUCGUGCUCUGUUAGCAGACCACCACCUAUGGAAUAAACGAAUGCACUGGAAGGUCCAUUAAUGGGAGAGGACUCUGUCAAGGAACAUGAAUUUACUCCUUGAGUUUCAGGGGAAGCACCAGUGCUUGCUGGACCAGAGUGUGAUUCUAGAUAGUCAGCUUUUUGCGAAGGCUUGCUUGUAUCCAGACCAUCUGAUAAUGCUGUUGCUGAUCCAGAUGAAUUCAGAUUGGUUUUGAGUGUGCAGGGAGAAGCCUCUUUUGUAUCCUCAAAUGUAUCAGUCGAGUCACUGGAGCGCUCUGAGGAGUUGGCUGUGUGAUAGGAUCCUGAUGAGUCGUUGGUGUCGUCCACAGGUCUCACUUCAUCCGGCUCCCUUUUAAGAAUUGAUGUGGAGGCCGGGCUACAGGCGAGGGAAUGCGUUUCACAGUCGUCUCCAAAGAUGUCACAGAGGCAGGUGGUCUCGGAAAUAACGUUGCGUUGACCUGGGAUUCUGGUGAUAUCAAAGAUCUCCACACGAUUUGGCCGGUCCCUGUUUUGCAGAUUGAAGGUGUGAGGAGCGCUGCGGAGGAAUGAGUAGCUGUCUCCCUCUAGGACCCAGCUUUCCAUUGCUUUUCUGCCGACCCCAGUGACACAGGAUGCAACGCUGCAGUGUGUAGUUGCGCCAGUACGUUGGCUACUCAGAAACACACACUGCCUGCUCUAGUAAGGGAUGCUGGGGAAAUUCCUGAACAUUGUGAGAUCUGUAAAAUAAAUUGAUGGUGUCAGGCAUUCAGGUAAAAAAUAUGAAUACGUUUUGAUUUAGUUACAUUGUAUAAAUCUUAUAGCUCCAGCAUUCUGGCUCAAAAGUAAACUCCAAGGCCAGAAUAAAUACAACUUUGAGUAGGGACAGAAUCGAUGGUAAAAACACAAAACUACGAAGACCAAAAUGGAAGAAAAGCCAACAUGGCAACAAUCUCUGAUCUCAGAAAUGACUAAUGAAUCAGCAUAUCUAACCAUAGUAUGGCACAAACUAAGGCUUUUAAAAGUACAAAUGGCCAAAAAAUAAGCAUAUUCCAUCAAAAGGUUGCAUUUUAUGUGAGGUGUGAGACAAAGGCAUGCAUAAAUUGUAGGUUGAAAUCUUUUUACUCAUUGUUUCAUUUUACUUUACAUCCUCCUCAACUUACAAAAGUUUAAAUACCCAUAUGAGUAUAAACCUUAAAAUUUAAAAAAUGUGGAUAGUUCCCCUUCCUAACCAACUCUGUAUCAAGUUGACUCAAAUCAAAUGACAAAGUUGCUUGAAUCUCAUUUGCAUGAAUUAAGUAAACACAGCCUCUUGAUUAUACAUCUAAAAUCUAAAAUCUUAAAUCUUAAAUCUUAAUCCUCAAUAUCAGAAUUGCCCAUUUUCAAUGACAGUUACACCGUUCAAGCAUGUCACAAAAUACUUCAAAUAUCAGGCAUGACUAUGUAUUAAUGUUUCGCUGAUUUACAAGUUUAAAUUGACGGACUACUACUAAGUGUACAUAAUACAGUACAGCAAAACCUUCGUUUAUUAUAUAUAAAGAACAAAUACCUGUUCAUUGUAGUUGCAUUCUUUCUGACUCUGAGUUGAAUGGGAGAGCUAUCUCACCCUCACAAGCAUUUAGUGGGAGCAGACGCAGUCUGAACUGAACCUUACCUCAUGCCGAUAGCCCUCCCGAGGGAGUCCUGUGUCUUCAGUCCCUCGCUGACCCCACACUCGGGCCAGUGUCCUCUUCCAGCAUAGUCCAGGAACUUCUGCAGAGUAUCCACCAACUACAGUUGAGUCAGUCUGGCCGCAUAUAGUUGGCCCUUUGAAAGACAUAUUGAUACCACAUUAUAAAAAGAUACAACAUCAUUAAAAGAUCAGAGAUUAGAAAAAGAGGAAGGGAAGGGCACAUUGGCCCCUCCUCUUAAGUCUCUACAAGAAAAGAAGUGCAUAAAUCUGACCUGGAUUUUUUUUGACUGAAGUUUGGCAGAGGCUCCUCAGUCUGUGCUCAGUAUGAGUGUAGGGUUAAAGCUCGCAGCAGGUGCAAGUCCAGCCAGAAAGGAGCAUACCACAGGAAUCUGACACGCUGUGGCAACAGUCACAGGGCCCUCCUAAAUAUAGACCAAUGCUAUCAAGGGAACAAACUGGUGUGUUUGAAGGCAAGGGACACUAAAUGUCAGCUGUAGUGGGGUACAGACAUGAUGAGCAUCACCUCCUGGAGUGUUAAGUUUGAGUCUGACAUACUAAUUAGAGUUAGAAGCCGUUUCAUUGAGUUCCUUAAAGUGCAUUAAAUUCACCACAAUUUGCAUAUGGGCAGGCAGCCAGAUGAAAGCCCUCAGUGUCACAAGAGGAACUUACAAAUACAAAGUCUCUUGGAACAACAGAGACACAAACUCUGGUUCUAACUUUGAAAGACUCAAAAAGCCUUUUUUCAUGAUUUGGGUCUUGAUUCGUUGUUUCAUUGUAAAUGGUUUAUGACAAACACUUUUCGCAGAGUUUUGUCUAUCAUUUUAUCCUUGGUCUAAUUUUAGUGUGUCAAAGCAUUACACUGUACAAACAGGCACUGUCUCGCUCAUGGGGAAAGAAUGUCAGGCACCUUUGCAAUGGGGGCUUUAGCAUGCAACUCCCCAGCAGAUCAAGCUUACUGUCUCCAACCCAAAACUCCAGU